Molecule: ribosomal RNA, 246 nt
Filed under: uncultured bacterium
Lineage: Bacteria
Description: partial 16S ribosomal RNA
Rfam family: Bacterial small subunit ribosomal RNA
Source: RNAcentral
GAUCAUGGCUCAGGAUGAACGCUGGCGGCAUGCCUAAUACAUGCAAGUCGAACGGACCGAAGGGAAAGCUUGCUUUUCCUGAAGUCAGUGGCGAACGGGUGAGUAACACGUAGGUAACCUGCCCAUGUGCCCGGGACAACGCCUGGAAACGGGUGCUAAAACCGGAUAGGUAGAGAGAUCGCAUGAACUUUCUAUUAAAGGGGCUACGGCCCUGAACAUGGAUGGACCUGCGGUGGCAUUAGCUAG